This 497-nucleotide ribosomal RNA is filed under the name uncultured bacterium. RNAcentral's name for it is "partial 16S ribosomal RNA". It matches the Rfam family "Bacterial small subunit ribosomal RNA", at positions 28 to 507 of the family's 1533-position model. The record is from RNAcentral.
GAUGAACGCUGGCGGCGUGCCUAAUACAUGCAAGUCGAGCGAACAGACGAGGAGCUUGCUCCUCUGACGUUAGCGGCGGACGGGUGAGUAACACGUGGAUAACCUACCUAUAAGACUGGGAUCACUUCGGGAAACCGGAGCUAAUACCGGAUAAUAUAUUGAACCACAUGGUUCAAUAGUGAAAGCCGGUUUUGCUGUCACUUAUAGAUGGAUCCGCGCCGCAUUAGCUAGUUGGUAAGGUAACGGCUUACCAAGGCAACGAUGCGUAGCCGACCUGAGAGGGUGAUCGGCCACACUGGAACUGAGACACGGUCCAGACUCCUACGGGAGGCAGCAGUAGGGAAUCUUCCGCAAUGGGCGAAAGCCUGACGGAGCAACGCCGCGUGAGUGAUGAAGGUCUUCGGAUCGUAAAACUCUGUUAUUAGGGAAGAACAAAUGUGUAAGUAACUAUGCACGUCUUGACGGUACCUAAUCAGAAAGCCACGGCUAACUACGUG